This 468-nucleotide ribosomal RNA is filed under the name uncultured bacterium. Its description in RNAcentral is "partial 16S ribosomal RNA". It matches the Rfam family "Bacterial small subunit ribosomal RNA", at positions 28 to 506 of the family's 1533-position model. The record is from RNAcentral.
GACGAACGCUGGCGGCGUGCUUAACACAUGCAAGUCGAACGGAAAGGCCCUGCUUGCAGGGUGCUCGAGUGGCGAACGGGUGAGUAACACGUGGGUGAUCUGCCCCUUACUUUGGGAUAAGCCUGGGAAACUGGGUCUAAUACUGGAUAGGACCAUGCUGUAGGUGGUGUGGUGGAAAGAUUAGUUUCGGUAAGGGAUGAGCUCGCGGCCUAUCAGCUUGUUGGUGGGGUAAUGGCCUACCAAGGCGUCGACGGGUAGCCGGCCUGAGAGGGUGGACGGCCACAUUGGGACUGAGAUACGGCCCAGACUCCUACGGGAGGCAGCAGUGGGGAAUAUUGCACAAUGGGCGCAAGCCUGAUGCAGCGACGCCGCGUGGGGGAUGACGGCCUUCGGGUUGUAAACUCCUUUCAGCCAUGACGAAGCCCUUGUGGGGACGGUAGUGGUAGAAGAAGCACCGGCUAACUACGU